AGUGAACGCUGGCGGUAGGCCUAACACAUGCAAGUCGAACGGCAGCACAGAGGAGCUUGCUCCUUGGGUGGCGAGUGGCGGACGGGUGAGGAAUACAUCGGAAUCUACUCUGUCGUGGGGGAUAACGUAGGGAAACUUACGCUAAUACCGCAUACGACCUACGGGUGAAAGCAGGGGAUCUUCGGACCUUGCGCGAUUGAAUGAGCCGAUGUCGGAUUAGCUAGUUGGCGGGGUAAAGGCCCACCAAGGCGACGAUCCGUAGCUGGUCUGAGAGGAUGAUCAGCACACUGGAACUGAGACACGGUCCAGACUCCUACGGGAGGCAGCAGUGGGGAAUAUUGGACAAUGGGCGCAAGCCUGGUCCAGCCAUACCGCGUGGGUGAAGAAGGCCUUCGGGUUGUAAAGCCCUUUUGUUAGGAAAGAAAUCCAGCUGGCUAAUACCCGGUUGGGAUGACGGUACCCAAAGAAUAAGCACCGGCUAACUUCGUGCCAGCAGCCGCGGUAA
Molecule: ribosomal RNA, 505 nt
Filed under: uncultured bacterium
Lineage: Bacteria
Description: partial 16S ribosomal RNA
Rfam family: Bacterial small subunit ribosomal RNA
Source: RNAcentral